AAUAGAUACCCUGGUAGUCCACGCCGUAAACGGUGGGCACUAGAUGUGGGGCUCUUUCCAUGAGUUCCGCGUCGCAGCUAACGCAUUAAGUGCCCCCGCCUGGGGAGUACGGCCGCAAGGCUAAAACUCAAAGGAAUUGACGGGGGCCCGCACAAGCGGCGGAGCAUGCGGAUUAAUUCGAUGCAACGCGAAGAACCUUACCAAGGCUUGACAUAUACGGUCUAUCCCUACGAGAUAGGGUAGGUGCUUCGGCGCCGUAUACAGGUGGUGCAUGGUUGUCGUCAGCUCGUGUCGUGAGAUGUUGGGUUAAGUCCCGCAACGAGCGCAACCCUCGUUCUAUGUUGCCAGCACGUAAUGGUGGGGACUCAUAGGAGACUGCCGGGGUCGAACUCGGAGGAAGGUGGGGAUGACGUCAAAUCAUCAUGCCCCUUAUGUCUUGGGCUUCACGCAUGCUACAAUGGCCGGUACAAAGGGCUGCAAUACCGUAGGUGGAGCGAAUCCCAAAAGCCGGUCUCAGUUCGGA
Molecule: ribosomal RNA, 523 nt
Filed under: uncultured bacterium
Lineage: Bacteria
Description: bacterial SSU rRNA
Rfam family: Bacterial small subunit ribosomal RNA
Source: RNAcentral